UUGUGUCCUCCUUCAGCAAUCUAGGGUGAAAGUGAAGACUCUGGGCUCUAUAGGUUCUUGCACCAUAGUCACCGGAAGAGAUGGCGUAUCUCACCUGAAGCAGAAAGCCCUAUCGUCCGUGAGGACUAAACGUUUGACACCAGCCUCUCGACCAUCCGCUCAAGAACAAAUCAGCCCACUGCUGAAUCUAGUUGAUGAUCCCUGCCCUACUCUAUGGAUUUCACAUGAUUGGGAAUACAGAUAUGCAUCUGUUGGUCACAGAUACCUUUAAAAAAAAUAGGGGCGUGGAUCAGAAACCGGUCAGUAUCUGGUGUGACCACCAUUUGCCUCAUGCAGCACGACACAUCUUCUUCGCAUAGACUUUAUCAGGUUGUUGAUUGUGACC
Molecule: long non-coding RNA, 385 nt
Filed under: Salmo salar (Atlantic salmon)
Lineage: Eukaryota; Metazoa; Chordata; Actinopteri; Salmoniformes; Salmonidae
Description: lncRNA (ENSSSAG00000108302.1)
Source: RNAcentral